This 1121-nucleotide long non-coding RNA is filed under the name Lepisosteus oculatus (spotted gar). RNAcentral's name for it is "lncRNA (ENSLOCG00000023071.1)". The record is from RNAcentral. Lineage: Eukaryota; Metazoa; Chordata; Actinopteri; Semionotiformes; Lepisosteidae.
UGUACCCCUGCUGUCAGAAACUCUCUGUGCUCUGUGCUGUCAUGUACCCCUGCUGUCAGAAACUCUCAGGGCUCUGUGCUGUCAUGUACCCCUGCUGUCAGAAACUCUCUGUGCUCUGUGCUGUCAUGUACCCCUGCUGUCAGAAACUCUCUGUGCUCUGUGCUGUCAUGUACCCCUGCUGUCAGAAACUCUCAGGGCUCUGUGCUGUCAUGUACCCCUCCUGUCAGAAACUCUCUGCGCUCUGUGCUGUCAUGUAAAAGAUUAACUCAGUGGCUUGAGUGGUGCAGAGCAGAGAGAGGAGAAACCACAGCGUUCAGGGGUGUGAGGAAGUGGUUUUCCAUUUUAUCUUCUUCUCAGUGUGGUAGUUCCAUAUCAUCUGGAACAUCUGUAUCACUUAUUCUUGCACAUUACACAUCCAUCCUGCCGUCUUCUAAACACUUCAUCCAAUUCAGGGUUGUGGGGGAGGCAGACUCUCUCUCUCCUGCACCAGGCACCAGGCAGGGUACACCCUGGAUGGGACAUCAGUCCAUCACAGGACACACACUGGCACAGACACACACACUCACACCUGACAGUCACACACCAGACACACACACACACUCACACCUGACAGUCACACACCAGACACACACACACACACACACACACCUGACAGUCACACACCAGACACACACAUACACACACUCACACCAGACACACAGUCACAGACACACCCUCACACCAGACACACAGACACACUGUCACCAGUCACGCCAGUCUCACACACUCAUGCCUGACAGGCAGUAGGAGGAGACUGGAGCCCCUGUGUGAAAGUGCUGGGCUUUGUGCCGGGACGUCUAGAAAUCGCCACAGGGCCUCUCUCAUCAGCCCGAGAGGCCGGCGCGCUGUGGGCUCACAGCUGUCCCUCUGUCUCCCAGAUGAGGGGCUCUUCCGGAGGCCGAGGAGGGCCGCAGGGGGCCGCUGAGCCGCAGACGGAGCUCCGUGUCCGGUCCAGAGCCCUCGAGCGCUGGUCGUCGCCCUGAAGCCCUGGCCACGCGGCCUUGCUCGACAGCGCUGCGGCGCACUGCUUCUGCUCUCUGUCACGCUAUUAAAAAUUAUAUUGUGGGAUUCAAACGAGUUCG